RNAcentral lists this ribosomal RNA (253 nucleotides) under uncultured bacterium. RNAcentral's name for it is "partial 16S ribosomal RNA". It matches the Rfam family "Bacterial small subunit ribosomal RNA", at positions 524 to 776 of the family's 1533-position model. The record is from RNAcentral.
UACAGAGGUCUCGAGCGUUAAUCGGAAUCACUGGGCUUAAAGGGUGCGUAGGCGGACUCGUAAGUGCUUUGUGAAAUCCCAUGGCUCAACCAUGGAAUUGCUUGGCAUACUGCGAGUCUUGAGGUCGGUAGGGGCUGCUGGAACUCUAGGUGGAGCGGUGAAAUGCGUAGAUAUCUAGAGGAACGCCAAAGGUGAAGACAGGCAGCUGGGCCGAUUCUGACGCUGAGGCACGAAAGCGUGGGGAGCAAACGGG